This 72-nucleotide transfer RNA is filed under the name Myxococcus fulvus. RNAcentral's name for it is "tRNA-Pro". Lineage: Bacteria; Pseudomonadati; Myxococcota; Myxococcia; Myxococcales; Myxococcaceae. The record is from RNAcentral.
CGUGCCGCUGCGCGGGGGCGUCAGCGGGCCUGGGGCGCCCGGACUCCCGCCGUGCCAGUCGGCACGGCGGGG